AUGCCAGCUUCCUCGAGAUUCGUGCAAGAGAGCGAUCUAAGAAAUCCCGGGCAGGGGUCUGCGUGGGAGGUACUGAGGCUUGGACUGAUUUGCCCUAAAGACUUCCUAUUUAGUUCGGCUGAUCCCCCAAUCCCCUGCUCGCCUCCACCCAAAUACUCCAGGAAACAAACUUCGAACGCCCGCCCAAGAAGCGGCGCCGGCGCCAUGGGGGAUCGGCCAAAGCUUCCUGCCCGGUACGAGCAGGUGAAGCUGCUCGGCGAGGGCAAUUUCGCCAAGGUCUACCUCGCGCGGCACAUGGAUACCAAGGAGGAGGUGGCAAUCAAGGUGAUGGACAAGGAGAAGCUCAUCAAGUUGGGCGCCGUUCAACAGAUCAAGCGCGAGAUCGCCGUGAUGCGCCGGUUGCGCCACCCCAACAUCGUUCAGCUCCACAAGGUGAUGGCCUGCAAGUCCCGCAUCUUCGUCGUCAUGGAGUACGUCCGCGGUGGCCCGCUCUACCGCCACAUCCCCGCCAACAGCGGCCUCAAGGAGGACGAGACGCGCCGCAUCUUCCAGCAGCUCGUCUCGGCGCUCACCUUCUGCCACGCGCAGGGCGUGUACCACCGCGACAUCAAGCCCGACAACCUCCUCGUCGACGAGCACGGCAAUCUCAAGGUCGCCGACUUCGGGCUCUCCGCCCACGCCGACACGGCUCGCCGGGAGGCGCUCCUCCACACCGUCUGUGGCACGCCCCUGUACGUCCCUCCCGAGGUGUUCGCGCGCCGGGGCUAUGACGGUGCCAAGGCGGACGCCUGGUCAUGCGGCAUCGUCCUCUUCGUGCUCGCCGCCGGCCGCAAGCCUUUCCGGGACGACGACUUCAUCACCCUGUACCGGACAAUCUGCCGCGGUGACUACCGUUGCCCACGCACCUUCAGCCCCGAACUGGUACGCAUAGUACGCCGCCUCCUCCAACCAAACCCAGCGCACCGAAUCACACUCCUGCAAAUCAAGGAAACAGAUUGGUUCAAGAAAGGCUUCAAAGAAGUUAGUUUCUACAUCGACAACAAGGACUGCUUGCGCAGCCUUGAUGGCUCCGAAGAGCCUGAUCUCUGUGACUCUGACUCCGAGGACGAGACUGCCAUGUCUUCGUCAUCCUCCGGCUCUUCCUCUCCCGUGGCUCAUGGCGACGGCGGCGGCAUGCACACCUCGGUUUCAGCACCGUCUCUUGUAAAUCUGGAGAAGAUGCACAUUGCUGCAGCUCGUGCCCCCGAGCCGCGCAUAAGACGGAUCAAGAGCAUGAACGCGUUCGACAUCAUCGCCUCCUCGCCAAGCUUCGAUCUGUCCGGGCUGUUCGAGGAGCGUGGCGAGCAGUUGCGUUUCGUGUCCAGCGCGCCGGUGAAUACCAUCAUCUCGAAGCUGGAGGAGAUCGCCGGGCAAGUUAGCUUCACGGCACGCACCAAGGAUUGCCAAGUGAGCUUCGAGGCGACGAGGAAUGGCCACAAGGGCGCGCUGGCCAUAUCCACCAAGAUAUUCCAGCUCACGCCGGAGCUCGUCAUGGUCCAGGUAUGCAAGAAAGCCGGAGACACCGCUGAAUACCGUCAAUUCUGCGGCAGUGAGCUCAAGCCCGGCCUUCGAGGUAUUGUGGAUGGCCUGCCCGAGGAUGGCCUUCCUCCGACGUUGAAUGUUGCGUGA
RNAcentral lists this ribosomal RNA (1668 nucleotides) under Triticum aestivum (bread wheat). RNAcentral describes it as "partial small subunit ribosomal RNA". Lineage: Eukaryota; Viridiplantae; Streptophyta; Magnoliopsida; Poales; Poaceae. The record is from RNAcentral.